UACGUACCAAUUACAAAGUUAUUUUAUUUUCUUAAAGUUUCUCUUAAUAUUAUAUAGAAAAUGUCAUGGUUCUCAAGAUCUGGAGAGGUCGUGGUGUGUGUUUUUCGUCUUCGCCUCUCCCACCAGGGCGGAACUGGACCUUGAUUCCCCGCCUCUGAACCCGCCCUGAACACACACCUGUGGCUCAUUCACACUGAUCCUGGCAGACUACUUAAGAUGGCAAGAGAGGCUGCUUCCUCGCUGAUUGUCACACUGCCUAGCGUCAGUGUAGCCUAGCCUUUCAAAGUAUUCCUUGUGAUCCCCUAGAGUUUCCUCCUAACAUUGUUUUUCUCUGUGUACAGGCCUUCUAGAUUCCCUGCCAUCUGGAGUUCUGUGGAUGUGUGUGAGUGAGCCCAGUAGUAAAGUUGCAGAACAACAGAGGAAACAACAAAUACUCAUACACCAGCAACUCUGACGAUAACCUGCUGAAGAACAUUGAACUGUUUGACAAACUCGUCCUGCGAUUUAAUGGCCGCGUCCUGUUUGUCAAAGACGUGCUGGGGGAUGAGAUCUGCUGCUGGUCUUUUUAUGGCGAAGGCCGCAAGAUUGCUGAAGUGUGCUGCACUUCCAUUGUCUAUGCUACAGAGAAGAAGCAGACCAAAGUUGAGUUUCCCGAAGCCCGAAUAUUCGAAGAAACCCUCAAUAUCCUCAUCUAUGAGAACAACAGAGGAUCUGGACCAGGAGGCUUGCACCUUUUAGAUUCAAGAGGCUCCGGUUCAUCGCUGGGAACUGGUCAGUCAGAGGAAGAGGGUGCCGUG
This is a long non-coding RNA of Oreochromis aureus, 797 nucleotides long. RefSeq lists it as uncharacterized. The transcript is spliced from 4 exons. The record is from RefSeq and is a predicted model, not a curated record. Lineage: Eukaryota; Metazoa; Chordata; Actinopteri; Cichliformes; Cichlidae.